Molecule: ribosomal RNA, 406 nt
Filed under: uncultured bacterium
Lineage: Bacteria
Description: partial 16S ribosomal RNA
Rfam family: Bacterial small subunit ribosomal RNA
Source: RNAcentral
AUUGAACGCUGGCGGCAGGCCUAACACAUGCAAGUCGAGCGAGCGGCGGACGGGAUAGUAAUGUAUGUGGCUCUGCCCGAUAGAGGGGGAUAACUACCGGAAACUGUUGCUAAUACCGUCUACUAUCGGAUGAACCCAUGUGGGAUUAGCUAGUGGGUGGGGUAAAGGCUCACCAAGGCGACGAUCUCUAGCUGGUCUGAGAGGAUGAUCAGCCAAACUGGGACUGAGACACGGCCCAGACUCCUACGGGAGGCAGCAGUGGGGAAUAUUGGACAAUGGGCGCAAGCCUGAUGCAGCCAUGCCGCGUGUAUGAAGAAGGCCUUAGGAUUGUAAAGUACUUUCAGCGGGGAGGCGUUACCCACAGAAGAAGCACCGGCUAACUCCGUGCCAGCAGCCGCGGUAAUUC